AGAGUUUGAUCUUGGCUCAGAUUGAACGCUGGCGGCAGGCCUAACACAUGCAAGUCGAGCGGAUGAUGGGAGCUUGCUCCCGGAUUCAGCGGCGGACGGGUGAGUAAUGCCUAGGAAUCUGCCUGGUAGUGGGGGACAACGUUUCGAAAGGAACGCUAAUACCGCAUACGUCCUACGGGAGAAAGCAGGGGACCUUCGGGCCUUGCGCUAUCAGAUGAGCCUAGGUCGGAUUAGCUAGUUGGUGGGGUAAAGGCCUACCAAGGCGACGAUCCGUAACUGGUCUGAGAGGAUGAUCAGUCACACUGGAACUGAGACACGGUCCAGACUCCUACGGGAGGCAGCAGUGGGGAAUAUUGGACAAUGGGCGAAAGCCUGAUCCAGCCAUGCCGCGUGUGUGAAGAAGGUCUUCGGAUUGUAAAGCACUUUAAGUUGGGAGGAAGGGCAGUAAGUUAAUACCUUGCUGUUUUGACGUUACCAACAGAAUAAGCACCGGCUAACUUCGUGCCAGCAGCCGCGGUAAUACGAAGGGUGCAAGCGUUAAUCGGAAUUACUGGGCGUAAAGCGCGCGUAGGUGGUUUGGUAAGAUGGAUGUGAAAUCCCCGG
Molecule: ribosomal RNA, 603 nt
Filed under: uncultured bacterium
Lineage: Bacteria
Description: bacterial SSU rRNA
Rfam family: Bacterial small subunit ribosomal RNA
Source: RNAcentral